This 497-nucleotide ribosomal RNA is filed under the name uncultured bacterium. RNAcentral's name for it is "partial 16S ribosomal RNA". It matches the Rfam family "Bacterial small subunit ribosomal RNA", at positions 28 to 507 of the family's 1533-position model. The record is from RNAcentral.
GAUGAACGCUGGCGGCGUGCCUAAUACAUGCAAGUCGAGCGAACAGAUGAGGAGCUUGCUCCUCUGACGUUAGCGGCGGACGGGUGAGUAACACGUGGAUAACCUACCUAUAAGACUGGGAUAACUUCGGGAAACCGGAGCUAAUACCGGAUAAUAUAUUGAACCGCAUGGUUCAAUAGUGAAAGACGGUUUUGCUGUCACUUAUAGAUGGAUCCGCGCCGCAUUAGCUAGUUGGUAAGGUAACGGCUUACCAAGGUAACGAUGCGUAGCCGACCUGAGAGGGUGAUCGGCCACACUGGAACUGAGACACGGUCCAGACUCCUACGGGAGGCAGCAGUAGGGAAUCUUCCGCAAUGGGCGAAAGCCUGACGGAGCAACGCCGCGUGAGUGAUGAAGGUCUUCGGAUCGUAAAACUCUGUUAUUAGGGAAGAACAAAUGUGUAAGUAACUAUGCACGUCUUGACGGUACCUAAUCAGAAAGCCACGGCUAACUACGUG